CCUACGGGCGGCUGCAGUGGGGAAUAUUGGACAAUGGGGGGAACCCUGAUCCAGCCAUGCCGCGUGUGUGAAGAAGGCCCUCGGGUUGUAAAGCACUUUCAGUGAGGAAGAACGCCUGGUGGUUAAUACCCAUCAGGAAAGACAUCACUCACAGAAGAAGCACCGGCUAACUCCGUGCCAGCAGCCGCGGUAAUACGGAGGGUGCGAGCGUUAAUCGGAAUUACUGGGCGUAAAGCGCGCGUAGGUGGCUUGAUAAGCCGGUUGUGAAAGCCCCGGGCUCAACCUGGGAACGGCAUCCGGAACUGUCAAGCUAGAGUGCAGGAGAGGAAGGUAGAAUUCCCGGUGUAGCGGUGAAAUGCGUAGAGAUCGGGAGGAAUACCAGUGGCGAAGGCGGCCUUCUGGACUGACACUGACACUGAGGUGCGAAAGCGUGGGUAGCAAACAGGAUUAGAUCCCCUGUAGUC
Molecule: ribosomal RNA, 464 nt
Filed under: Vreelandella stevensii
Lineage: Bacteria; Pseudomonadati; Pseudomonadota; Gammaproteobacteria; Oceanospirillales; Halomonadaceae
Description: partial 16S ribosomal RNA
Rfam family: Bacterial small subunit ribosomal RNA
Source: RNAcentral